Molecule: ribosomal RNA, 459 nt
Filed under: uncultured bacterium
Lineage: Bacteria
Description: bacterial SSU rRNA
Rfam family: Bacterial small subunit ribosomal RNA
Source: RNAcentral
UACGGGAGGCAGCAGGGGGAAUAUUGCACAAUGGGCGAAAGCCUGAUGCAGCUAUGCCGCGUGUAUGAAGAAGGCCUUAGGGUUGUAAAGUACUUUCAUCGGGGAGGAAAAAACAAAACUAAUAAUUUUAUUUCUUGACGUUACCCGAAAAAGAAGCACCGGCUAACUCCGUGCCAGCAGCCGCGGUAAUACGGAGGGUGCUAGCGUUAAUCAGAAUUACUGGGCGUAAAGAGCACGUAGGUGGUUUUUUUAAAGUCAGAUGUGAAAUCCCUGGGCUUAACCUGGAACUGCAUUUUGAAACUGAAAUACUAGAGUAUCGUAGAGGGAGGUAGAAUUCUAGGUGUAGCGGUGAAAUGCGUAGAUAUCUGGAGGAAUACCUGUGGCGAAAGCGGCCUCCUAAACGAAUACUGACACUGAGGGUGCGAAAGCGUGGGGAGCAAACAGGGAUUAGAUACCCGU